This 437-nucleotide ribosomal RNA is filed under the name uncultured bacterium. RNAcentral describes it as "bacterial SSU rRNA". It matches the Rfam family "Bacterial small subunit ribosomal RNA", at positions 338 to 767 of the family's 1533-position model. The record is from RNAcentral.
CCUACGGGUGGCAGCAGUGGGGAAUCUUCCGCAAUGGGCGAAAGCCUGACGGAGCAACGCCGCGUGAGUGAAGAAGGUCUUCGGAUCGUAAAGCUCUGUUGUCGGGGACGAAUGUACCUUUUGUGAAUAAUGAGAGGUAAUGACGGUACCUGACGAGGAAGCCACGGCUAACUACGUGCCAGCAGCCGCGGUAAUACGUAGGUGGCGAGCGUUGUCCGGAAUUAUUGGGCGUAAAGGGAGCGCAGGCGGGAAGGCAAGUCAGUCUUAAAAGUGCGGGGCUCAACCCCGUGAUGGGAUUGAAACUGUCUUUCUUGAGUGCAGGAGAGGAAAGCGGAAUUCCUAGUGUAGCGGUGAAAUGCGUAGAUAUUAGGAGGAACACCAGUGGCGAAGGCGGCUUUCUGGACUGUAACUGACGCUGAGGCUCGAAAGCGUGGGGA